This is a non-coding RNA of Podarcis lilfordi (Lilford's wall lizard), 72 nucleotides long. NCBI's taxonomy places the organism in Eukaryota, Metazoa, Chordata, Lepidosauria, Squamata, Lacertidae. The record is from the annotation of a GenBank genome assembly.
AGGACUGUAACUCAGCGAUAGAGCAUCUGCUUUGCAUGCAGAAGGUCCCAGGAUCAAUCCCUACUAUCUCUA